This 513-nucleotide ribosomal RNA is filed under the name Notospermus geniculatus. Its description in RNAcentral is "partial 16S ribosomal RNA". It matches the Rfam family "Bacterial large subunit ribosomal RNA", at positions 1817 to 2597 of the family's 2925-position model. Lineage: Eukaryota; Metazoa; Nemertea; Pilidiophora; Heteronemertea; Lineidae. The record is from RNAcentral.
AGCUUGUUGGUUGGUCUUAAUAACAGGUAUUUUCUGCCCGGUGUUCUUAGGAAUAAACGGCCGCGGUACUCUGACCGUGCAAAGGUAGCAUAAUCACUUGUCCUUUAAUUGUGGGCUGGGAUGAAGGGAAGUAUCGUGGGCCCGGCUGUCUCUUUCCUAUUUUUUGAAUUUGCUGUCUGUGUGAAGAAGCAUUGUUGGUAAAAAGGGACGAGAAGACCCUAUUAAGCUUUACUUCUGUGGUUUGGUUUUAGUCUUUUACGUACUUAGGUCUGUUCUGCGGGGUUUGGUUGGGGUGACCGGAGAAGACGUGGAUCUUCUCUUUUGUUCUUACUUUCUGUUGGGUCUGGAUCCAAGAUUUUUUGAUUCAAGGAAUUAGUUACUGUAGGGGUAACAGCGUAAUUUUUUCUUAAAGUUCUUAUUGAAGGGAGAGGUUGCGACCUCGAUGUUGACUUGCUGUAUCCUCUUUCAGGUGUAGCAGCUGGGAGGGUUGGUCUGUUCGACCAUUAAAAUAGC